Molecule: non-coding RNA, 129 nt
Filed under: marine sediment metagenome
Also listed under: 1 other name
Source: RNAcentral
AACGGGUGAAAGUUCCGUCAUGGUAGAAGCCAAGCCAUGUAGCUUGGAUGGCAGAGGGUGAGGGAAACGUUAUCCUCUGAAGCCCAUCGACAAAGUGCCGUUAAGCGGUAUGAGCAAAUAUCCGGGUCG